AAUCGAACCCGGAGAUAGCUGGUUCUCCUCGAAAUAGCUUUAGGGCUAGCCUCGUAUUAGAUUAUCGGAGGUAGAGCACUGAAUGGGCUAGGGGGUCCAAAGCUUACCGAACCCUAUCAAACUGCGAAUGCCGAAUAAUUGAUGUACGGGAGUCAGUCCGCGAGAGAUAAGUUCCGCGGGCAAAAGGGGAACACCCCAGACCCGCCGCUAAGGUCCCGAAGUUCACGUUAAGUGGAGAAGGAUGUGUGAUUGCAUAGACAACCAGGAUGUUGGCUCAGAAGCAGCCAUUCAUUCAAAGAGUGCGUAAUAGCUCACUGGUCGAGUGGUCAUGCGCCGAAGAUGUACCGGGGCUCAAACGUGACACCGAAGCGCGGGAUUCGUUCAAAACGAGUGGUAGAGGAGCAAUGAAUCAGGGCAGAAGCCAGAUCGAGAGGACUGGUGGACUUGAUUCAAGAGAGAAUGCCGGUAUGAGUAGCGAGAGGCAAGCGAGAAACUUGCCCGUCGAAAGCCUAAGGUUUCCUGGGGAAGGUUCAUCCGCCCAGGGUAAGUCGGGACCUAAGCCGAGGACGGAAGUCGUAGGCGAUGGACAGCAGGUGGAGAUUCCUGCACCGCCUUGAGAAUGAAGCAAUGACACAGAAGGAUAGCAUGAGCCGGGUGAUGGUCAACUCGGUUUCCACAGCGAGGGUGCUUGGUAGUGAAGUACGUCAAGCGCGAAGCCUGAGCCGAAGAGGGAGCGAAAUCAAGUAGCGAAGCAUGCGAUUUCACGCUGGCGAGAAAAGUUGCUAGUUUAUCGAAAAGGCGCCCGUACCGCAAUCCGACGCAGGUAGGCGAGAAGAGAAUUCUAAGACGAACGGGAGAAUCCUUGUUAAGGAACUCGGCAAAAUGACCCCGUAACUUCGGGAGAAGGGGUGCCGAUGGAAACAUCGGUCGCAGAGAAUAGGCUCAAGCAACUGUUUAGCAAAAACACAGGUAUCUGCGAAAGAGAGAUCUGACGUAUAGGUGCUGACACCUGCCCGGUGCUGGAAGGUUAAGGGGAAAUGUUAGGGCAACCGAAGCAUAGAACCGAAGCCCCAGUAAACGGCGGCCGUAACUAUAACGGUCCUAAGGUAGCGAAAUUCCUUGUCGGGUAAGUUCCGACCCGCACGAAUGGUGUAAUGAUUUGAGCGCUGUCUCAACAGGGAGCCCGGUGAAAUUGAAGUAUGGGUGAAGAUGCCCAUUACCCGCGACUGGACGGAAAGACCCCGUAGAGCUUGACUGUAGCUUGAUAUUGGAUUUCGGUAACGGAUGCACAGCAUAGGUGGGAGACUGGGAAACCACUACUUCGGUAGUGAUGGAGUCGCCGUUGGGAUACCACUCUUCUGUUAUUGGAAUUCUAACAUAGCGCCAUGAAACUGGUGGAUGGACAGUGUCAGGUGGGCAGUUUGACUGGGGCGGUCGCCUCCAAAAGAGUAACGGAGGCGCCCAAAGGUACCCUCAGAAUGGAUGGAAACCAUUCAAAGAGUGCAAAGGCAGAAGGGUGCUUGACUGUGAGAGUGACAACUCGAUCAGAGACGAAAGUCGGGCUUAGUGAUCCGGCGGUAUUGAGUGGAAAAGCCGUCGCUUAACGGAUAAAAGCUACCUCGGGGAUAACAGGCU
This 1635-nucleotide ribosomal RNA is filed under the name human gut metagenome. RNAcentral describes it as "bacterial LSU rRNA". It matches the Rfam family "Bacterial large subunit ribosomal RNA", at positions 831 to 2483 of the family's 2925-position model. The record is from RNAcentral.